RNAcentral lists this ribosomal RNA (592 nucleotides) under Trichoderma longibrachiatum. RNAcentral describes it as "eukaryotic LSU rRNA". The stretch from base 215 to 368 matches the Rfam family "5.8S ribosomal RNA". Lineage: Eukaryota; Fungi; Ascomycota; Sordariomycetes; Hypocreales; Hypocreaceae. The record is from RNAcentral.
CUCACUCCCAACCCCAAUGUGAACGUUACCAAUCUGUUGCCUCGGCGGGAUUCUCUUGCCCCGGGCGCGUCGCAGCCCCGGAUCCCAUGGCGCCCGCCGGAGGACCAACUCCAAACUCUUUUUUCUCUCCGUCGCGGCUCCCGUCGCGGCUCUGUUUUAUUUUUGCUCUGAGCCUUUCUCGGCGACCCUAGCGGGCGUCUCGAAAAUGAAUCAAAACUUUCAACAACGGAUCUCUUGGUUCUGGCAUCGAUGAAGAACGCAGCGAAAUGCGAUAAGUAAUGUGAAUUGCAGAAUUCAGUGAAUCAUCGAAUCUUUGAACGCACAUUGCGCCCGCCAGUAUUCUGGCGGGCAUGCCUGUCCGAGCGUCAUUUCAACCCUCGAACCCCUCCGGGGGGUCGGCGUUGGGGAUCGGCCCCUCACCGGGCCGCCCCCGAAAUACAGUGGCGGUCUCGCCGCAGCCUCUCCUGCGCAGUAGUUUGCACACUCGCACCGGGAGCGCGGCGCGGCCACAGCCGUAAAACACCCCAAACUUCUGAAAUGUUGACCUCGGAUCAGGUAGGAAUACCCGCUGAACUUAAGCAUAUCAAUAAGC